CGCUAAGAAGCUAAACUGGUCCUCAGCGUUAGCCUUUUAAGCUAAAGAAUGGUGAUUACCGCCCACCCUCAGCGA
This 75-nucleotide transfer RNA is filed under the name Poecilopsetta natalensis (African righteye flounder). RNAcentral describes it as "tRNA-Lys". It matches the Rfam family "tRNA". Rfam says of the family: Transfer RNA (tRNA) molecules are approximately 80 nucleotides in length. Their secondary structure includes four short double-helical elements and three loops (D, anti-codon, and T loops). The record is from RNAcentral. Lineage: Eukaryota; Metazoa; Chordata; Actinopteri; Pleuronectiformes; Poecilopsettidae.